This 480-nucleotide ribosomal RNA is filed under the name uncultured bacterium. Its description in RNAcentral is "SSU rRNA". It matches the Rfam family "Bacterial small subunit ribosomal RNA", at positions 26 to 523 of the family's 1533-position model. The record is from RNAcentral.
AGGAUGAACGCUGGCGGCGUGCCUAACACAUGCAAGUCGAACGUCCUGUCUCGCAAGAGGCAGGGAGUGGCGGACGGGUGAGUACCACGUGGGUUAUCUACCGUGAGGUGAGGAAUACCGGCGAGAAAUCGCCGACAAGACCGCAUAGCCUCGGUGCAAGCCGAGGAAAGCUUUCUCGAGAGAGGGAGCGCCACACGAGGAGCCUGCGCCCGAUUAGCUAGCUGGUGGAGUAACGGUUCACCAGGGCGACGAUCGGUAGCUGGUCUGAGAGGACGAUCAGCCACACUGGGAUUGAGAACGGCCCAGACUCCUACGGGGGGCAGCAGUGAGGAAUUUUCGUCAAUGGGGCAACCCUGAACGAGCAACGCCGCGUGCAGGAAGAAGGUUUUCGGAUCGUAAACUGCUUUUCGUCGGGGAAGAGGAACGGACGGUACCCGAGGAAUCGAGCCCCGGCUAACUACGUGCCAGCAGCCGCGGUAA